This 660-nucleotide ribosomal RNA is filed under the name uncultured Bacillus sp. RNAcentral's name for it is "bacterial SSU rRNA". It matches the Rfam family "Bacterial small subunit ribosomal RNA", at positions 76 to 721 of the family's 1533-position model. The record is from RNAcentral. Lineage: Bacteria; Bacillati; Bacillota; Bacilli; Caryophanales; Bacillaceae.
GAGCUUGCUCUCAAAAGUUAGCGGCGGACGGGUGAGUAACACGUGGGCAACCUGCCUAUAAGACUGGGAUAACUUCGGGAAACCGGAGCUAAUACCGGAUAAUUCUUUUCUACACAUGUAGGAAAGCUGAAAGACGGUUUACGCUGUCACUUAUAGAUGGGCCCGCGGCGCAUUAGCUAGUUGGUGAGGUAACGGCUCACCAAGGCAACGAUGCGUAGCCGACCUGAGAGGGUGAUCGGCCACACUGGGACUGAGACACGGCCCAGACUCCUACGGGAGGCAGCAGUAGGGAAUCUUCCGCAAUGGACGAAAGUCUGACGGAGCAACGCCGCGUGAGUGAUGAAGGUUUUCGGAUCGUAAAACUCUGUUGUUAGGGAAGAACAAGUACGAGAGUAACUGCUCGUACCUUGACGGUACCUAACCAGAAAGCCACGGCUAACUACGUGCCAGCAGCCGCGGUAAUACGUAGGUGGCAAGCGUUGUCCGGAAUUAUUGGGCGUAAAGCGCGCGCAGGCGGUCCUUUAAGUCUGAUGUGAAAGCCCACGGCUCAACCGUGGAGGGUCAUUGGAAACUGGGGGACUUGAGUACAGAAGAGAAGAGUGGAAUUCCACGUGUAGCGGUGAAAUGCGUAGAGAUGUGGAGGAACACCAGUGGCGAAGG